CAGGAAGAUCAGGGAAAAUGAUUUCAACAAAACAAGGUAUACAACUUGGAGCUUGAUUUCACCAAGAAAUUAGUUUUUCAAUCAUUUAGUUUUUCUGAAACAAAUGUUGACAAUCUAUCUUUGCCUAGCCUCCCAAAUACUCUUCCCCCAUUCAGUUGCUAGGUGCAUGAAGAUUAAGAGAAAUGACAAAAGCAGAGGGACACUGGAUGAGUGAUGGAUUCAGAACUAUUGUAGCCCUCUCAAUAAUUAGUUCUAUAAUCUACCUUCUGGUUAGCAUUACUUAUUUUUUAAAAGUAAAAAAUGUAUUAGAACUCAAGAAAGCAAAACAAAAUAAAUAUUCAAAUACAAUAAUUCCUUUUAUCAGCUCAUAGACCUACAUGUCUCCCUCAAUCACUGAUUUCUAGAUAUUCUAGUCUUCUAUAGUUUUACGAAGUCAGAUUGCAACUGUUUAAGGAAAUUUUAAAUUGAAUCCUAAGUUGUUUGUGUGUGCUUCAAAUGCAAUUUGUUUAAAAACCCACCAUGAAAAGAAGCUAGUAUUUCUGGAGUACCUUAUUAGACAUUAUAUUCCAGCUUGGUCACUUAAGCUUUGAAUAUUUACUGCAACAUAGAUAUUAGUCCUACUUUGAUAGAUGAGAAGUAUCUUCUUCAAAAAAAUUAACUCACUCAAGAUUACACAGCUAUGUAGGACUAGAUUUUGCAAACUCCAAUGUCCAAAUUGUGUAUGUGUGUGUUAUAUUGGAACUUUUAACUCAAAUCCUCUAACUCUCCUGGCUUUUUUGCUCAAGUCUGGUGCUCUACCACUUGAACCACACCUCCAUUAUGGCUUUUGCUGGAUAACUGUAGCAAUGAGAGUUUCAUG
Long non-coding RNA from Dipodomys spectabilis (banner-tailed kangaroo rat), 859 nucleotides. RefSeq lists it as uncharacterized. The transcript has 3 exons. The record is from RefSeq and is a predicted model, not a curated record. Lineage: Eukaryota; Metazoa; Chordata; Mammalia; Rodentia; Heteromyidae.